This 253-nucleotide ribosomal RNA is filed under the name uncultured bacterium. RNAcentral describes it as "partial 16S ribosomal RNA". It matches the Rfam family "Bacterial small subunit ribosomal RNA", at positions 524 to 776 of the family's 1533-position model. The record is from RNAcentral.
UACGAAGGGUGCAAGCGUUAAUCGGAAUUACUGGGCGUAAAGCGUGCGCAGGCGGUUUUGUAAGUCUGUCGUGAAAUCCCCGGGCUCAACCUGGGAAUGGCGAUGGAGACUGCAAGGCUAGAGUUUGGCAGAGGGGGGUAGAAUUCCACGUGUAGCAGUGAAAUGCGUAGAUAUGUGGAGGAACACCGAUGGCGAAGGCAGCCCCCUGGGUCAAAACUGACGCUCAUGCACGAAAGCGUGGGGAGCAAACAGG